Molecule: ribosomal RNA, 344 nt
Filed under: uncultured bacterium
Lineage: Bacteria
Description: bacterial SSU rRNA
Rfam family: Bacterial small subunit ribosomal RNA
Source: RNAcentral
AGCAUAUUCAUUUGACGUUAGCUGCAGAAGAAAGCACCGGCUAACUCCGUGCCAGCAGCCGCGGUAAUACGGAGGGUGCGAGCGUUAAUCGGAAUUACUGGGCGUAAAGACGCAUGCAGGUGGUUUGUUAAGUCAGAUGUGAAAGACCCGGGGCGUCAACCUCGGAAUUGCAUUUGAAACUAGGCAAACUAGAGUACUGUAGAGGGGGGUAGGAAGUUUCAGGUGUAGCGGUGAAAUGCGUAGAGAUCUGAAGGAAUACCGGUGGCGAAGGCGGCCCCCUCGGACAGAUACUGACACUCAGAUGCGAAAGCGUGGGGAGCAAACAGGAUUAGAUACCCUGGUAG